Molecule: ribosomal RNA, 582 nt
Filed under: uncultured eukaryote
Lineage: Eukaryota
Description: bacterial SSU rRNA
Rfam family: Eukaryotic small subunit ribosomal RNA
Source: RNAcentral
UAAAAAGCUCGUAGGUGGAUUUCUGUUGAAUGAGGCCGGUCCAUACCACGUAUGCGCAUCUGGUCCUCUUUCGGCAUCCUUGCAUUGGACGUUUUUGCGCUUGAUUGCGUGAGGCGGUUGGUGCAACUUUUACUUUGAGGAAAUUAGAGUGUUCACGGCAGGCUAUCGCCCGAAUACAUUAGCAUGGAAUAAUGAGAUAGGAUUCCGGUUCUAUUUUGUUGGUUUCUAGAAUUGGAAUAAUGAUUAAUAGGAACAGUUGGGGGUAUCCGUAUCAUGGCGUCAGAGGUGGAAUUCUUGGAUUGCCAUGCGACGAACUACUGCGAAAGCAUUUACCAAGGAUGUUUUCGUUGAUCAAGAACGAAAGUAUGGGGAUCGAAGACGAUUAGAUACCGUCGCAGUCUAUACCAUAAACUAUGCCAACUAGGAAUGAGACGGAUGUAUAUUUUAUGACCCGUUUCGCGCCUUAUGAGAAAUCAAAGUUUUUGGGUUCCGGGGGGAGUAUGGUCGCAAGUCUGAAACUUAAAGGAAUUGACGGAAGGGCACCACCAGGAGUGGAGCCUGCGGCUUAAUUUGACUCAACAC